This 253-nucleotide ribosomal RNA is filed under the name uncultured bacterium. RNAcentral describes it as "partial 16S ribosomal RNA". It matches the Rfam family "Bacterial small subunit ribosomal RNA", at positions 524 to 776 of the family's 1533-position model. The record is from RNAcentral.
UACGUAGGGGGCUAGCGUUGUCCGGAAUCAUUGGGCGUAAAGCGCGCGUGGGCGGCCCGGUAAGUCCGCUGUAAAAGUCAAAGGCUCAACCUUUGAAUGUCAGUGGAUACUGCCGGGCUAGAGUCCGGAAGAGGCGAGUGGAAUUCCUGGUGUAGCGGUGGAAUGCGCAGAUAUCAGGAGGAACACCAACGGCGAAGGCAGCUCGCUAGGACGGUACUGACGCUAAGGCGCGAAAGCGUGGGGAGCGAACAGG